Alosa sapidissima (American shad) is the source of this 186-nucleotide long non-coding RNA. RefSeq lists it as uncharacterized. NCBI's taxonomy places the organism in Eukaryota, Metazoa, Chordata, Actinopteri, Clupeiformes, Clupeidae. The transcript has 3 exons. The record is from RefSeq and is a predicted model, not a curated record.
UCAGAGUAAGUGGUAAACCUCCUACAACAAAAGCCCUAUGGUAUUGUUUUGUUAGGAGAAUGAAGCCAUACAGUUCUUCUAUUAGGAGAUUUACCACCUACUCUGAGUUAACUAACCCAGGUUUGUCACUAAACCAAGUACUUGGAAUACCCCCCAGAGCAAAAGCGACAUGUAGGGAAAGGGUGU